CCUACGGGAGGCAGCAGUCGGGAAUUUUGGGCAAUGGGCGAAAGCCUGACCCAGCAACGCCGCGUGAAGGAUGAAGUAUUUCGGUAUGUAAACUUCGAAAGAAUGGGAAGAAUAAAUGACGGUACCAUUUAUAAGGUCCGGCUAACUACGUGCCAGCAGCCGCGGUAAUACGUAGGGACCAAGCGUUGUUCGGAUUUACUGGGCGUAAAGGGCGCGUAGGCGGCUUGACAAGUCACUUGUGAAAUCUCCGGGCUUAACUCGGAACGGCCAAGUGAAACUGUCAUGCUAGAGUGCAGAAGGGGCAAUCGGAAUUCUUGGUGUAGCGGUGAAAUGCGUAGAUAUCAAGAGGAACACCUGAGGUGAAGACGGGUUGCUGGGCUGACACUGACGCUGAGGCGCGAAAGCCAGGGGAGCAAACGGGAUUAGAUACCCCCGGGUAGUCCUGGCCCUAAACGAUGAAUACUUGGUGUCUGGAGUAAAUAGUGCUCCGGGUGCCGUCGCUAACGUUUUAGUAUUCCGCCUGGGGNGGUACGCUCGCAGAGUAGUAACUUAAAUAGAAUAGACGGCGUGAGACGUGCCGACGGCGACGACGAGGGGAGGUAGG
RNAcentral lists this ribosomal RNA (604 nucleotides) under uncultured bacterium. Its description in RNAcentral is "bacterial SSU rRNA". It matches the Rfam family "Bacterial small subunit ribosomal RNA", at positions 338 to 1241 of the family's 1533-position model. The record is from RNAcentral.